GUGCUUUCUCUGGCAGCGCAUAGACUAAAAUUGGAACAAUACAGAGAUUAGCAUGGCUUCUGCACAAAGAUGGUAUGUAAAUUUAUGAAGCAUGUUUUAUACUU
Small nuclear RNA from Pipistrellus kuhlii (Kuhl's pipistrelle), 104 nucleotides. The record is from RefSeq and is a predicted model, not a curated record. Lineage: Eukaryota; Metazoa; Chordata; Mammalia; Chiroptera; Vespertilionidae.